This is a long non-coding RNA of Melozone crissalis (California towhee), 1258 nucleotides long. RefSeq lists it as uncharacterized. The transcript is spliced from 2 exons. The record is from RefSeq and is a predicted model, not a curated record. Lineage: Eukaryota; Metazoa; Chordata; Aves; Passeriformes; Passerellidae.
GGAAAAGUGGGAAAACAAGGGGAUUUCAGUGCCAGUUCCUUCCCAGAGUGACUCUGUGGCCAGCAGGAAUUUUUGAAUGGAAUAAAAGUGCCCUAUUCCCAACAUCCCCACACGGGCUGUGAAAUUCCAGGGCCAUUCAGGCUCUCCAUCUUGGUUAUCUAAGUGCUCCCAAGAGGAGACAGGAUCCUGGUAACGGCCGUGCUCAUCCAUGCCUCAGAUCCCAAAGAACAGCAAAAACACAAGGGGAGUGUCCUUGGGAAGGGAUGGAAUUGGGGUGGUUUGAUGGGCUUCUCCAUGAUGGGGAUGGGAGGAUGGGGAAGGAGGAAGAGCUCAGGAUGAAGCAGAAAUUCCAAGGAAAACCAGGAUUCUGCAGCUCUGCCGUGAUGAGUGAGGCAAGGAGGAAACUUUCUCCCUCUCCUUCUUCCUGGAAAUAAAACUCCCCCACCAGGAUCAUUGUUUUCAUGUUUAUUUUCCUUCCUUGUGACUCAGCCCAUGGAAAACUCCCCACAGAGCGGAGCGGCUCCAUUCCACUCCCAUUCCUGGGGCAGAUCCUCAACUCCUGGAAGGGAAUUUUCCUCACACAAAACCCCAGAAAAGCUUUUCCAGCAUUUUUAUUUUUGGGGGGACUCUCCACCCUCCCUGCAGCCAAACCUCAGCUCCAGGGUGGGAGUGGCAGAAAUCCAAAAACCUGCUCCUUCCCCCAGCUUCUCCGCGGGAGAGGAAUAAAACUUUCCGACAGCAUUUCCCUCUCUUCCCAAAUCCGAGGCGAAGGGACGUCAAUUCCCUGCAGGAAGCGCGGCGAGUUCAGCGCCGAGCGCCAGGAAAAUUUGUCACCGCUGCUCCCCGGGGCUCCACUCCCGGCCUGGAGCAUCCUCCCAGGCAAAUGUUAUUCCUUUCAUAAUCCAUGAAGAUGCAGCUGGGAAAUCCUUCAGGAAUAUCCAAGCCAGAUGUCACUCUUCCCGUUGGACACGGCGACUUUGGAAGCCGCUGGAUGGGAUUCGCUGCCAGGAAUAAAAGCUCGGCCCCAGCCCGGCGGGUUUUGGCUUUCAGGAGCUCCGAGAGAAUGAAAACAAGGGAAAAGAGAAGGAGCCAAGUCCAUCUUAGCGAGAACAAGGAGGGAUCGGUGCCAAAUCGCUGCUGGCAGCUGGAGGAGGCAGGUGGGGAUGGCUUGGAAAAGUUGGGAAGAGCUGGGCUGGCUCUGGGUGAGGGAUGGAGGAGGAUUUUCCUAAGAGUUGCCUCCUCCUCCAAAAAAAAAACC